Molecule: unclassified non-coding RNA, 206 nt
Filed under: uncultured Sebacina
Lineage: Eukaryota; Fungi; Basidiomycota; Agaricomycetes; Sebacinales; Sebacinaceae
Description: sequence contains ITS2
Source: RNAcentral
GUAAUCUCCCACUCUCCGAUUCGGACUCGGAUUGGGAGCGGUGGACGUGGGUGUUGUGCUGCCUUCACGGCGGCUCGCCUCAAUUGCAUUAGUGCAACUCCAAGUUGGACAUAGUACGGCGUGAUAAGUAUCUUCGCCGGCACCUUGAAAGAGGGUGGCCAAUUUGGAGCGCUGUGCUUCUAACGGUCUUUGGACAAUCUCUGACA